GAAAGCGGAGGCCUCCGAAGGAAAGACCAAGAUGCAGAGAGAUGUCUAAAAGGUGCCAGAAGGUGACUAUCCAGCCCUGGUAUCACUGCCUGGUGAUUUCGUUUCUUUGAUCUUCACGAAUGGCCUCACUGGCUGUGAUUUGGACAGAAAUCAGCUGCCACGUGCAACAUUCUCCCAUGGGAACAUGUGUCCGCAGUACCUAUCUCAG
This 208-nucleotide long non-coding RNA is filed under the name Homo sapiens (human). RNAcentral's name for it is "non-protein coding lnc-FOXJ1-1:1". The record is from RNAcentral. Lineage: Eukaryota; Metazoa; Chordata; Mammalia; Primates; Hominidae.